RNAcentral lists this ribosomal RNA (810 nucleotides) under uncultured bacterium. Its description in RNAcentral is "bacterial SSU rRNA". It matches the Rfam family "Bacterial small subunit ribosomal RNA", at positions 52 to 876 of the family's 1533-position model. The record is from RNAcentral.
CACAUGCAGUCGAACGAGCGAGAGAGAGCUUGCUUUCUCAAGCGAGUGGCGAACGGGUGAGUAACGCGUGAGGAACCUGCCUCAAAGAGGGGGACAACAGUUGGAAACGACUGCUAAUACCGCAUAAGCCCACGACCCGGCAUCGGGUAGAGGGAAAAGGAGCAAUCCGCUUUGAGAUGGCCUCGCGUCCGAUUAGCUAGUUGGUGAGGUAAUGGCCCACCAAGGCGACGAUCGGUAGCCGGACUGAGAGGUUGAACGGCCACAUUGGGACUGAGACACGGCCCAGACUCCUACGGGAGGCAGCAGUGGGGAAUAUUGCACAAUGGGGGAAACCCUGAUGCAGCGACGCCGCGUGGAGGAAGAAGGUCUUCGGAUUGUAAACUCCUGUUGUUGAGGAAGAUAAUGACGGUACUCAACAAGGAAGUGACGGCUAACUACGUGCCAGCAGCCGCGGUAAAACGUAGGUCACAAGCGUUGUCCGGAAUUACUGGGUGUAAAGGGAGCGCAGGCGGGAAGACAAGUUGGAAGUGAAAUCCAUGGGCUCAACCCAUGAACUGCUUUCAAAACUGUUUUUCUUGAGUAGUGCAGAGGUAGGCGGAAUUCCCGGUGUAGCGGUGGAAUGCGUAGAUAUCGGGAGGAACACCAGUGGCGAAGGCGGCCUACUGGGCACCAACUGACGCUGAGGCUCGAAAGUGUGGGUAGCAAACAGGAUUAGAUACCCUGGUAGUCCACACUGUAAACGAUGAUUACUAGGUGUUGGAGGAUUGACCCCUUCAGUGCCGCAGUUAACACAAUAAGUAAUCCACCUGG